GAGUUUGAUCAUGGCUCAGAAUGAACGUUGGCGGCGUGGAUUAGGCAUGCGAGUCGUACGAGAACCCGCAAGGGGGAAAGUGGCGAACGAGGUAGUAAUGCGUAGGUGACGUGCCCUAAAAAAAAGGAUAGCUUAGGGAAACUUAAGGUAAUACUCGAUGAUCCCGGAUGAUUUGAAGAUCGACCGGGCAAAGGUGUGAUUCCAUCACAGGAGCGGCUUGCGUGGUAUUAGCUAGUUGGUGAGGUAACGGCUCACCAAGGCUUCGAUGCCUAGGGGAUGUUAGCGCAUGAUCCCCACCACUGGGACUGAGAUACUGCCCAGACACCUACGGGUGGCUGCAGUCGAGAAUCUUCGGCAAUGGGCGAAAGCCUGACCGAGCGACGCCGCGUGUGGGAUGAAGGCCCUUGGGUUGUAAACCACUGUCAGGGGGGAUGAAAUGCCGGUUAGCAAUCUUUCCGGUUUGACAUGGCCUCAGAGGAAGCACGGGCUAAGCUCGUGCCAGCAGCCGCGGUAAAA
This 516-nucleotide ribosomal RNA is filed under the name uncultured Planctomycetota bacterium. Its description in RNAcentral is "bacterial SSU rRNA". It matches the Rfam family "Bacterial small subunit ribosomal RNA", at positions 9 to 525 of the family's 1533-position model. The record is from RNAcentral. Lineage: Bacteria; Pseudomonadati; Planctomycetota.